GCGAGAGCGUAGCAGCGGCGACACCAUGCUCCUCUCGCCGGUACGAAAGCCUCUCUCUUCCCCCUCUUCCUCUUCCUCCGGUUUUCUUCUUCUUCUUCUCUCCGCCCUCUCUCCUUCCCUCCCUCGACCUCCCACCGCCUCCUCGUGUCCCGGCCGCCGCGUCCUCAGGGCUUCCUCGUCCUCCUCGGCAGUGGAGGGAGCGCCCAAAAGAAGCCCCAGAUUGGAAUCUAUCCUCGGGAUCACAUCCAGGAUCGGAAACAGCGCGAUGUAAAUACAUUAUUUAUGGAACUGGCAUUUCAGACAUCCUCUGCUGUCUUUUUCCAAUCACUUAUCGCAUAUGGACUCCUACAUUUCAAUCUUCAAAACUAAACUUGUACUAUCUUUCCUUUAACCAAAUGAUGUUGUUUGCUAUUUUGUUCGAAUAGUGUUCUUAGUACUUCUUGCUUUGAUUCAAUAAAUUGUGAUGUUCAGAGCUCAUAUUAUCUUGUGUUUAUUUGAUGCUAUUCAAAUCUGAUGCUUUCUCUAGUUUAUAAUUUUUAUUUUAAAUCCUAUUCUAACUCUUCCAUGAAUUCGUUAGUCAUGAUAUUUAUGCCUUCUUGUUUGUUAUUAUUAUUCAUGGAUCAUCGUAGUUUUCUAGACUCUAAGCAUGGUUAUCUCAACCCUUCUCAAUGAAACAGGGUUGUUAAAUGAAAGCCCUGACAUUCUCUAAAUGUGCCACUGCUCUUUGCGUUUAAGCUAACGACCCUUAAAUUGUUAUGGUGAUGGACUGUUUGUAUGCUUUCUGUUGAUGCUCUUAUUAAUUAACUACCUACGGGUGCUAAAUGGUGGUUUAUAUUUCAAAAAUUAUUCACCAUGAAACUAUCUGAUGACGCUGUUUCUGUUUCUGAAUGCUUGUGUCAAACAGACAACAUUGCUUCCUAGCAGUCCUUGUUAUAACAUAAAUAAAGCUGGCACUCAUAAGAGCUAUACCCUGCCUGUUUUGAAUUCUUUAUACCAAUUCACUAUUACAUCUCAUAUUCUCAUUUUACCCUUUCCUAGGUUUUGAUGAAAACUCACAAACAUUUCAUGGACAUUCUUCACUAUUCGGUCCCAAAACUUUUCCCAAUUUUGCAUGUAUGAGGUCCCACCAAUCUUCUUAGUUAAUCUCCAAUCAAAAUUUAGGCCAAACCUUCUGUUGAUUCCUUGGUGCUACUAGUGGCGUGAAUUUGGGCACUGGGAGUAAUUAUUUUAGUCAAAAAUUUUCUUAUUCUUCUUUAUACUUAGUUUUCAGGGCUGUUUACUAUUGGUUUGGAUAUCCUUAGAAUGACAAACCAGGGAAGUUAGUACCUAAACCAUUGAACGUAUGAGUUUUAAGACUAGACAUCGAAGGCAAAGGUAUAACCCUUUAUUGGUGAGUAAACUUAGGAAAGUAAAGUGAGAUUUCCCAGAGAAAUCCUUUAAGACUCCCAUCUCCAGAAUAUUUAGCUAUCAAUAGUAAAAUCCUAGAACAGUGGGAGUCUUGAAUUCUAUAUUUGGUAAAAUCUUGCUUGAACAGUGUUAGAGGACCUUCACAUUUGUUUUAAGCUCUAAUAGAAUUAUGGUUUCUUUUCACAGAAAAUUAUCUUAUUGUUUUAGAAUGUGUGUUGUUGAUACUCCAGAAGAGUAUCAAAGUCUGAAGCCUGAAGAUGAAACAUGUUGUAAAUAGAACUGCAGUAGAAACUUGUUCCAGAGUAAAAGCUCAACCUUUAGUUAAUAAUGUAGUGCAGUAUCUACAUCAGUCAAGUCAUCAUCACCAUAGUUACGAGUAACAAAAAUUAUCCAAAUAUUAAGGUUUGGAUAUGUGAACCCGUUCCUUUAAGGGACAAUAUUUGAUGUCCCUGCCAGCUUCUUCAAAAUCAUUCCUCAUUUCCAUUGAUCUCUUUUUGCAGUAUAUCUUGAUAUUUAUAUCAUUUUCUUCAAUAUAACUUUUUCAUAUUUGGCAAAAGCUUGCCGGAACAGCAGUAGAGGACCUCCAUUUUUGGUUUCUAUAUAGGGUUAUGGUUUGUUUUAGCAGAAAGUGAUUUUAUGGUUUUAGAAUAUUUGCUGCUGAACAUCUGAAGCCUGAAGAAUGAAACACAUCAUAAAUAGAAUUGCCAUAGAAACUUGUUCCAGGGAAACUUUUAGUUGUUGAUGCAGUAAAGUACGUAGAUCAGUCAAGUCAUGCAUCAUCAGGUAACAAACCUUAUCCAAAUAUUAAGGUUUAGCUUUGUGAAUCCAUUCCUUAAGGUUAAGGGCAAUUUCUGAUGUGACUGCUUGUUUCACCAAAUUUCUGAUGUCCCUGCCAGUUUCUCCAAAAUCAUUCCUCAUUUCCAUUCAUGUCUUUUUGUGGCGUAUCUUGAUAUUUAUAUCCUUUUCUUCCAUGUAGCUUUUCAUAUUUGGCAAAAUCUUGCCGGAACAGCAGUUUAGGACCUCAAAUUUGUUUGCUACUUUUAAAAAAUUAUUAUUUCUUUUAACAGAAGUUAAUUUUAUGGUCUUAGAAUAUUUCUUCCUGAUACUCCAGCAAAUCAUCAACAUCUGAAGUUUGAAGAAUGAAACAUGUCAUCUGUAGAAACUUGUUCUAGAGUAAAAGCUCAACCUUGAGGCUGCAUUUGGUUCAGGCAUAAGCAGGCUAAAGGCUUAACCAAGGAAUAGUUAUGCCGGUCAAACUUGCAAUGACUGGCAUGACUAUUCCAGAGGGGAGCUGUCAUAAUUCACUCCUUGGCAUAAAGGCGCCUUUUAUGCCUACUUUCUACUUUUUUAUGGACAAGAAAGUCAUCAUCCAAAAAUUAUUCCAAAAACUAGAGCCAAACAAAAAUUGGCAUGACUCAGGGCAUAACUAUUCCUUUAAGCAUAACUUUUCCUAUUCCCAUUUUUUCUUUUCCCUGAACCAAAUAAAGCCUUAGUUAAUAAUAUAAUACAAUACUUACAUCAUCAAAUCAUUCAUCAUCAUGUUCAUGAGGUAUCAAACCUCAUCCAAAUAUUAAGGUUUAGAUUUGCGAAUCCAUUUUUGAAGGGACAAUGUUUAUGUCACUGCCAGCUUCGCCAGAGUCAUUCCUUUUUUCCAUUCAUGUCUUUUUGAGUCCUUCCCCACCUCAAAUUGAACCUGGAUCCCCUCUUCUAUUCUAUGUUCCUCACAUCUUUAUUGCAUAUGGGCAUGCCAUCUCAAUAAAAUUCACUAAUGCUUCCAUAGUGAUGCAACUAUUGUGCCUCCUCAAAUGUACUCAUAUCCUACUUCCAUUGAACCUAUCAUAUCCAUCAAAGCAUUUUAUAUCCACGAACCUAUAACCUAAAGCUCAUGGCCAAUCUUUGUUGCCAAUAUUUUGAACCAUACAGCACAAGUAGAUGGUUUCUUGAUUCUUUCCCCUAAUUCUAUACUGUCUUACAUACAAAGAUUGGAUUCUUUAAUGGCGGAAUCUAAGAAGGAUGUGUGUCGAAGCACCAAAUAUACUUCAUGAAGAUGAAAAUUUUUGAACCCGUGCUGAAUUGUUCUGCACUCUAGAACUGAUUAAAUUUUUAAAAAUUAACUUUGACAUAGCCCAUAAUGCUACACUUGAUUCUUGGGUAUUGAAGAAAAAGGUAAUUAUAUCUUCAUCAAAUGCAUAAUUAUAUGAUGAGCUUCUGCCAGAAUUGUGCAUUACAUGCACAUAAUUUCCUCCUUCCUCUAUGAAGAUUCAUAUUUGUAUCCCAUGUUUAUUUUUUAUCUUGGUAUCUGAAAGGACAAUAUUAAUGAAGGCUACUGUGCUGAAACUUUACUUUCCACUCAACAAACUAUUGGUGGGUUUUUACUCGGAAGUAUGAUCUUUUAAAGUUUUGGAAAAGUGCUUUCAUAAAUAAUUUCUUCAAAUAAUAGUGACUUUCUUUUGGUUGCUUGCGAUGUGUACAGGAUUUGGCAACUAAUUAUAUAUGCUAAUAAUUUUGUAAUUUCUACACGAGGCCAUUGCAAGUACUUUACCUUGGUCCAUAUGUCAGUGACUUCAGUAUAAUAUCGGUACUGUCAUCAGUUACAUUAUCAGCUCUUGGAUAAGUUACUGCUUAUAUUGGGGAAGGGAUAUUUGAAGUGAAAGUUGGAAAUGGAACGUCUCUUUUAAAAUUCACAGGUAUCAUAUCAUACUUGCCCGCAUCAUUUGGAUGAACAGUUAGUUGCACAAGCAUUUCAGGAUAGAAACUACAUGGGACUUGCUAUUAGUCCUUGGUAUUGUAUAUGUCCAGGUAACUCCAUUUUCUUUUCCCUCAAAAAAAGAUUUAUUUUAAAUUUAUUGUUUUGGGAUAACCGGCAUCCCAACAAAGGGUUUCAGGAAGCUGAGAGGAAAAUACCACUCAAUUAUUGUUUGAGAUGCAGCAGUAGAAGCAGGGGGCUUCAAAAAUCUGCAUAUCUUUCUUUCAAGGAGAUUGGUUCAGAUAUGUCUAAAACAGACUAAAUGAGGCUGAAAUCCAUGGCAGUUUUGGUUCUUGUUACAUUUUGGAAGGCUAAGCUUUGAACUUCCACUUCCGGGAUAAGUUAACUUUAUUAUUAAAACUCUAAUGCAGAAUAUGAGGAGUAAAAACCUAGUUUUGAUUUUUACUUUCUCAGCAUGACUCUAGCUUGUGAAAACUGAAACAAAAGGUAGGUUAUCACACUUACAUACAUGAAGAAUUUUGAAGAGGACAUGAGCAAGGUCAAAUAGCCAUUUUAGAUUUACUUGAUUUUGUAAAGGUUGAAGUAUUGACAAAAAUGAAUUAAAGUUGAGACAUGUUUUAUCCAUGUGUGCAAUUGAUAUGGGAUGACUUAUUGAGUUAUAGAGCUAAUAAUGGAGAACAUUAUUAAAUGACUUAUUUUCAUGUAUGGGAUGACUUAAUGAGUCAUAGAGCUGCUGUGACACAUCCAACAUUCUGAAGGUAUAUCCUUAUAAUUUUGUUUUUGGUAAGAAUAUUCUUAUCGAAUUUCAUCACCUAAAGUUUAUAUUGAACUAAAUAAAUGAUAGUCAGGCUCAGACUACUGCAGUGAUGCCUCAUUUUGUAUAUUUCUUUCCUGUGUUUGGGGGAAUAUAAAUUUUCAAUUUAUUGCCUUUGCUGGACUUUCUACACCGAGAAUGAGUCAUCGUUUUUUUUUUAUAUUGGGUGGGUGGUUGGGUGGGUGCAACAGGAGUCAUAGGUUUUGCUGGCCACAUAGUUUGAUUUUAUUUUUCUAAAUCACAAUUGUACUCCAAAGAUACUUUCUUUUCCAUUUGACUUGGCCGCUUUUAUUUUCCAUUUCACCUUAACCAUAUAGGUUUUGGGAAAACUUCAUUUUCUGUCUCUGUAGUCGUUUACCAACCACUGCCUUGUAAUUGCUGUUGUCACCAUGCCUUUUUGUUCAUGCUUUUGUUUUGCUAUAUCAAACUAAUAUGGCUAGCUACUUCCCAAAGUUGUGCUAGCGAUGUUGGCACUAACUUUCAGUCCUGGGUUCAAAUCUCAGUACACUUUGCUAUUGGUUAUCAAUCUGUUCACGAUCUUAAUGAAGUGAAUUUGGAUAGGCCUGCCCAUCUUUUCUCCGGCAGCUCCUACCCUAAUCGGUGUAUCUCGGUUCUGCACUGUCCAAAUGGAUGAUGGCCACUAAUUUUGGCACAUGAUCUGUUCUGGUUUUGCUAUUGGUCCUGGAAAGCUUUUUUUUUUUCCUUCCAUUUUGCCAUAGUUGGUUGGUAUCUUUUCCCAUUUUAUAGUUUAAUAGGGGAUCCAGCAUCAUAGAGUAUUCAAUUACCUGUAGGAAAGGAAAAGAGACAGCCCAUGCGGUCAGCAAGGAAUAGAAUGGAGAGCUCAUGAGACACCUUAUGUAAAGCCUACGUUGGUUUAAGGCUUUACACCUUAUGUAAAGCCCGCGGGUCCGGGUUGGAUCCUAAAAUUAGAUCCGAAUUAUUUUCUGGAUCGGGUCUGGGUUUACCGAACAAACCCGAUCCGACCCAAAUGGACCCGAAGAGAGAGAGGAAAAGUAAGAGAGAGUUUUUGUGUGUGUGUGUGUGUAGGUGUGGGUCAUGGUACUAUUGGUCGUUUUUAAGUGAAUUUAUGGCGGGUUUUCAGGGCAGACAGGAAGGAGAUAUGGGUUUCUUAGGAGCUUGUUAGCUUGUUCCCUAGGGGAUGGGAAAUGCCCUCCAUCAAGGAGGGAAAGCUUUGGACCAAAAAAAAAAGAAAAAAAAGAAAAGCCUUAAGGGGAGUACGGUUCAAGCGUGGAAGGAUAGAAACAAGCAUAGGUUCACAGAAUCCAAAGGAACCUUGGCCCGUCAAGAUUCUC
This is a non-coding RNA of Phoenix dactylifera (date palm), 6241 nucleotides long. The record is from RefSeq and is a predicted model, not a curated record. Lineage: Eukaryota; Viridiplantae; Streptophyta; Magnoliopsida; Arecales; Arecaceae.